RNAcentral lists this ribosomal RNA (548 nucleotides) under uncultured bacterium. RNAcentral's name for it is "bacterial SSU rRNA". It matches the Rfam family "Bacterial small subunit ribosomal RNA", at positions 356 to 896 of the family's 1533-position model. The record is from RNAcentral.
GGGGAAUAUUGGACAAUGGGCGAAAGCCUGAUCCAGCCAUGCCGCGUGUGUGAAGAAGGCCUUUUGGUUGUAAAGCACUUUAAGUGGGGAGGAAAAGCUUGUGGUUAAUACCCAUAAGCCCUGACGUUACCCACAGAAUAAGCACCGGCUAACUCUGUGCCAGCAGCCGCGGUAAUACAGAGGGUGCAAGCGUUAAUCGGAAUUACUGGGCGUAAAGCGCGCGUAGGUGGUUAUUUAAGUCAGAUGUGAAAGCCCCGGGCUUAACCUGGGAACUGCAUCUGAUACUGGAUAACUAGAGUAGGUGAGAGGGGAGUAGAAUUCCAGGUGUAGCGGUGAAAUGCGUAGAGAUCUGGAGGAAUACCGAUGGCGAAGGCAGCUCCCUGGCAUCAUACUGACACUGAGGUGCGCAAGCGUGGGUAGCAAACAGGAUUAGAUACCCUGGUAGUCCACGCCGUAAACGAUGUCUACCAGUCGUUGGGUCUUUUAAAGACUUAGUGACGCAGUUAACGCAAUAAGUAGACCGCCUGGGGAGUACGGCCGCAAGGUUA